Molecule: ribosomal RNA, 432 nt
Filed under: uncultured bacterium
Lineage: Bacteria
Description: partial 16S ribosomal RNA
Rfam family: Bacterial small subunit ribosomal RNA
Source: RNAcentral
AACGAACGCUGGCGGCAUGCCUAACACAUGCAAGUCGAACGAGACCUUCGGGUCUAGUGGCGCACGGGUGCGUAACGCGUGGGAACCUGCCCUUAGGUUCGGAAUAACUCCCCGAAAGGGGUGCUAAUACCGGAUAAUGUCUUCGGACCAAAGAUUUAUCGCCUUUGGAUGGGCCCGCGUUGGAUUAGCUAGUUGGUAGGGUAAAAGCCUACCAAGGCGACGAUCCAUAGCUGGUCUGAGAGGAUGAUCAGCCACACUGGGACUGAGACACGGCCCAGACCCCUAGGGGGGGAAGGAGUGGGGAAUAUUGGAAAGGGGGCAAAAGCCUGAACCAGCAAUGCCGGGUGAGUAAUGAAGGCCUAAGGGUGGAAAAGCUCUUUUACCCGGAAUAAUAAUGACGGAACGGGGGAAAAAGGCCCGGCCAACUCCGGG